UUUUGAGUCAAUCUUAUGAGUACUCUGUCAUUGUCCUGUAUAAACAAUAUUACAGAUAAAAUAAGAUGAGAUGGAACUUUUUUCAAUCCCAAAGGACAUUUUCAUGCCAAAUGAUUAGUUUAUUAUAGUGUGAAUGGAGUAAAUGCCAAUAAUAGUUAGAGUAAUGUGCAUGUGUGGCAUACAGGGGGUGAGAGAAAUUGUUCAUGAUGCUCAGCAUCCUCCUCUCUCACAGCGAACUGGAGUUCCACUCCUAGGACAGGAGCAGCUUUCCUGAUGAGUUUAUUGAGUCUGUUAGCAUCAGCUUUCAGAACAGGACGCUGACCAUAAAGUAUGUAAAGUCAUUGUUGUGGAAAAAACCCUGACAGGGUGAUGCAAGACCCUGACACCAAGUGGCUGGAUAUGGUCCUUUAUACACUAAGAACAGCAGUGAUAGCAAUGGUCUGUUACAGAGAAAUAAAAUAAUAUUUUAAUUAACUGAACAAUAUGAUAAUAUUCUGAGUUAUAAUUACAGUCACAAGGAAUUAAAUACAGUAUAGAUUUGCUGAAAUUGAAUAGAUCCAGAAGACUCACAAAUUUCCUGUAAUCUAAAGUGAACACAAAUCUUGUUGAGAUUUGACAACUUGUUUAACUGCACAGGUUGGAACCAGGAUCCACAUGUGAAUGAGGAGCUAAUCACACUGCACCUCACACCUUGUGACCCACUGGAAGGGCCAAGCAACGCGAACAUGGAGGGACAAGCAGAGCAGACCGACAUGGAGGGACAGGCAGAGCAGACCGACAUGGAGGGACAAGCAGAGCAGACCGACAUGGAGGGACAGGCAGAGCAGACCGACAUGGAGGGACAGGCAGAGCAGACCGACAUGGAGGGACAGGCAAAGCAGACCGACAUGGAGGGACAGGCAGAGCAGACCGACAUGAGUAAAAAGUCAGUGGCAACAAGGCAUAUGCCAGAGAGGAAGAAGCUACAAAAAACCAGGGCGAAGACAGCCAGGGCAGCGCCCUCAAAGAUGGUCAGGGAAGCCGGUGCUUCGCUUGGUGGAGAAGAGGGGGAAAAGGGAACUUGUGCCACUCAUAGCUCAUCAUGUCAAAAGGGGCUCAUGUGUUAUCAGUGAUGAGUGGCGAGCCUGUCGAAAUGCUCUGCCGCAGCUGGAAUACAGGCAUUUAACAGUAAAUCACAGGCCACUCUAUGACAUGAGACUGAAAUACAGGUAGACUAACAGGCAGUGGGGAGACUGACAGGGGGGCAGUGAGAGACUAAAAGGGGGGAGACAGUGUGGAAACUGACAGGGGUAGACUGACAUACAGGGUGAUUGACAGAUUGGGUAGACUGACUGAGCGGGAAGACGGCAGCCUGAUAUGGCUCUGGAGCAGUACCACAUACAUACACACACUGUGCUGCUAUGUUCAUGCCCCCUCACCAUAUUGUCAUGUUACAAAAUAAGAGAUGUUCAUGCUUGUUCAAAGCUCUCCUCUGUGCGAGUUGAGAUUCUAUCUGUGAUAAUCUGUUUUAUUCUGUGUUAAAUAAAAUUUGUAAAAUUCUUUGUACGUGAUUGCUUCAACUACUUUUCAACUAAUAGUGGUUAAGUGAUGCUUAUGUGUUACUGAAGGAAUACCUGUGUUACACUUUACAAUAAGCAGGGUUCGUACACAUUUUUCAAGGUCAAAUUCAAGCACUUUUCAAGCACUUUUAAGGGUCAUUUUCAAAUUUUUCCAGCACCUUAUCGCUGGGGUAAAAUACAUAUCUACAGGAAUAUAUACACUAUUUUUUUUUUCACUUUUUAUCACAAUUAUGUACAUCUAAAAUUAUGUUUUAUAAUAACAAAAAGUUUAGAAAUUAAAGGAGUCAUCACCCGGAAAUCGCAAUUUCUCUCGUUAAAUCAUGCAUAUUGGUGUUGGACCUCUGUUCAAACUUGCCUGAAAAGCUGGAGUCUGAAAGUGGCUUAUUUUUUUCGCUUUGGCUCUUUUUCCGAACAGGAAUAGCGCACAGUAGUGCGCGUUCCUAAAGCACGAGAUUUUGACUCUGCUCCUGUGGUGGCGUUACCACAGGAAGCUACUUGCAUAUGCAUCGGCUCACAGCCAUCCUCAGCCAGAGUGAGCACGCCGAAUCUGCUUAUUUCUCUGUCAUUUUCACGCCAUACAUCGUCACCGCCAGCAUUAAAACUCAGGUCUUACAUGUAAAACACGAGUGUGAAAAGUAAGACGGAAAAAAAAAGAAUUUACCAUUCAGAGACAUCCUGCUGUAAACGUGUCUCUUCCACCGUCUCUGCCUCUUCACUCUCCCGUUCGGUUUCCGACUCCGGCUCGUACAUAAAUGCCUGAAUUCCGUAAGGUUUGUCAUUUAGUGUGUGCGCCAUGACAGGGGGCUGUUUAUGUUUUGGAGUCUGUGUGCAUGCAGGCUCGCCCCCCAUUCCGGCUCUGUCCUUCCUGCGGCCAAUCAACGCGCGCCUCAUUACAUAUUAAUACAAUGCACAUCCGGACCGGUCAAAACCUCGCGCAUAAUCUCGCGUGAGAAAGUCGCGGUAUGAAAAAGUGUCAGAACAAGCUCUAUGUUUGAUUUUUUUUAAAAAGAAAAUUUCUAAUAAGUUUUAAGAAUUGAUCCAAAGCGAUCCAAGAGGGACUGGAUAUGUAAAAAACCAGGUGAUGACUCCUUUAAAGGAGAACACAAAGUUUUAUCAAAAAAAAUGGAAGCCACUUGGCGUUCUUCAGGCACACUCGCACCGAGACAAAGAGAGAUCUGAGAGCACCCUGUAAUUUUCUUUUUUGACAUAAAUUUGUAUGUUUCAAAAUGCAGUGUUGGGAGUAACGCACUACAAAAGUAAUGCAAUUACUGUAAUGCAUUACUUUUUGCUGUAACGCAGUAAUGUAAGGCAUUACAAAAAUAAAAUAUUUUACUCGGUACAAAUCCCAGUAACGCCUGUUACAAUGCAUUUUAAACCCGAAAUUAAAGGGAUAGUGUGUAACGAUUUAAGUAAUUUAUUAACCCAAAACGUCUUCGUUCAUAAGUAAGUCGUCAUUGGUGUACAAUUACCUCUGCCAACAAUCUGACUUAUCCUCCUGAGCGAAGAAUUACCUAUCUGAAUAUACAUAGCGCGGGCAAGCUCUAUGGAGGCCGCCAUGUCUUUCCGGUUUUAAAAAAACUAUGGACUGCCGAGAGGGACACAGAGCACUACGUGGUACUACGUAGUAGGGCUAACCGCGUUUUCGCUCAGAGCUAGCUUGACUGUGGAACUGAGAGGGAGCUCAGCGAAAGUGCUCAUCACUAACAAUAACUAGUGGCGAACUGUGGCCCUGGACCCUGGGCCUUCACUAGGACCAUCGGGCCACACUUGGCAAUAAACAAUCAAACAAAGCAAUACAAAUAAUAGCCAGAGCCCUACAUGUGACAUGCAAGGUCAGCACAUCCUCCUAAAACCGGGAAGAAAAACAUUUUUUUGUACAUAAUUUAAUUAAUCGUUGUAAUAAACAUAUCACUAAUGAUGAUUUUCUCAAAAAUGUUAUUGAUUUAUUGUUUAUAACCUGUCCCUUGUAGUGGACAUCAGGGUCAUUCUCUUCCAUAAAAAGAACAUUACAAGGCGAUUGGUAUGAUAAAAUAAUGCAUUUUCUUUUAAUUCUUUCUCAUUUUAUGAAUAUUGGAAACAAAUAAAAAACACAUUUUAAAAUCUGCUCUACUGCCUUGCUCUCUUCCUCCUCAUCCACUGACAGCUCAAUGUCUUACUCUCCCUAAAUAAUCUUAAACAAAAUCUUUCCUGCCUCUGUUUCCUGAAGUAUGGAAAAUGGUUGGAAAUGAGAAGAAGCAAGUCCCACUGUCCCCCCCAAAAAGUAUUUUGAAAAGCUUAACAUCAACAUACACUUCUAAUCUUCUAUCUUAAUAUAAUAUAGUUCAGACUCUCAUAAAUAAAGAACAACAUCCUCAGGAUAAACAGAAACAUUAUUUCUGUAUAAAUUUGACCACUUAACUCUCUUACUGGCAUAAAAUGUGUUGGUUGCAAUUCCCACCAUUUUGAAAAGACAGAAGAUGAGCUCUGUUGACCACACCCCUUUGUGUAUUACAUCACUAGAAAGCCAAGGAUGUGCUUUACACAGGACAGUAGGACUCAAAUAAACUGCAUGCAUGGUUUUUGAAAUAAAGGCCCCAGUGUCAUGUUAACCACAGUGGACAAAAAUUAAUUGCUGGGUCUUUAAAGGUUUCUUUACUCCAAAUGACUUCACAACACACAAAGGCCAUUCAGUAAAACAAGGCACAGCUGGCUAUAUGACAUCACUACAUCUAAUUAUGAUAUGUAAAACAAUUAGAUUAUUUUGUGAAAACAAAUGAUACAAGCAAAUCAUAUUGACUUAUUUUGCAUAUACAGUACCAGUCAAAAGUUUGGACACACCUUCUCAUUCAAUGUUCCUUCUUCAUUUUUUAUUAUUUUCUACAUUGUAGAUUAAUAUUGAAGACAUCAAAACUAUGAUGGAACACUUAUGGAAUUAUGUAGUAAACAAAAAAGUGUUAAACAAACCAGAAUAUGUUUUAUAUUUUAGUAGUCACCUGGAAUGGUUUUUAAUUAACAGGUGUGUCUUGCCAAGAGUUAAUUUGUGUUAUUUCUUGCCUUGUUAAUGUGUUUGAGACCAUCUGUUGUGUUGUGCAGAGGUACUAUUGGUACACAGUUCUAUACAGUGAAUAGCCUAUUUGACUACUAUUCUAAUCCAUAUUAUGGCAAGAACCACUCAACUAAGUAAAGAGAAAUGACAACUGAUGGUCUCAAACACAUUAAGAAGGACAAGGAAUUCCACAAAUUACUCUUGACAAGGCACAUCUGUUAAUUGAAAACCAUUCCAGGCGACGACCUCUUGAAGCUGAUUGAGAGAAUACCAAGAGUGUGCAAAGCUGUCAUCAAAGCAAAAGGUGGCUACUUUGAAGAAUCUAAAAAAUAAAACAUAUUCUGGUUUGUUAAACACUUUUUUGUUUACUACAUAAUUCCAUGUGUUCCUUCAUAGUUUUGACUUGUCUUCAAUACUAAUCUAUAAUGUUGAACAUAAUAAAAAUAAAGAAAAACCAUGGAAUGAGAAGGUGUUUCCAAACUUUUGACUGGUACUGUAUAAUUAACUGGAAUGAAAGUAAAAUGUCUAAAAUAUUCAUCUAUUCCCUUGAAAUAUAUUCCAUCUGAACACAUCAGCUAUAAGGGUAACUCUCAGUUGUUUAUCAGUAGUUUUAUCCAGUGGAGGUAUCGCUGCAGCUUGUACAAGACAUUACUGUUUUAUUCUGAAAAUAAGUACUCUGUGUGUGUGGUGACGAGGUUAAGGGUGCAAAUGGGUGGUAGCAGAUAGCUGAUUGACACCAGUCAAGUGUCUGUCAUAAACCACAUGGAGGGCCCUGAGGUGACACAGAGUUGCAGCAGUAGAGCUCUGUGUUCCAGGCUGUUUGUGGUGCAGCAUCACUGGGCCUCCUCCCCAGCCUCCUACCCCACCUGUGUCUGCCUCUUGCUCAACAUGUGGCGGCUGAGGUUCUGGUUUGGGCUCAGGUAGCUGUGCGAUGUGAAUCACAAGGCCGAUGUGCAGAUAAAACUUUCUUAGAACAGCCUGGCGCUCAGGGAUCAGGUUGAACUGCUUGAUCUCACACAGCAGAGGGUAGUAUCUGGACACAUGAGCUUUGACCUGAGAGUAGAGGUGAGAUGAGACAGAGAGAGAGAGUGAGACAGAAAAAAA
RNAcentral lists this long non-coding RNA (5688 nucleotides) under Sparus aurata (gilthead seabream). RNAcentral's name for it is "lncRNA (ENSSAUG00010000791.1)". Lineage: Eukaryota; Metazoa; Chordata; Actinopteri; Spariformes; Sparidae. The record is from RNAcentral.